CGCGUAGGCGGUUUGUACAGUCAGACGUGAAAUUCCUGGGCUCAACCUGGGGGCUGCGUUUGAUACGUGCGAGCUUGAGUUCGGAAGAGGGUCGUGGAAUUCCCAGUGUAGAGGUGAAAUUCGUAGAUAUUGGGAAGAACACCGGUGGCGAAGGCGGCGACCUGGUCCGAUACUGACGCUGAGGCGCGAAAGCGUGGGGAGCAAACA
RNAcentral lists this ribosomal RNA (207 nucleotides) under uncultured bacterium. RNAcentral's name for it is "partial 16S ribosomal RNA". It matches the Rfam family "Bacterial small subunit ribosomal RNA", at positions 568 to 774 of the family's 1533-position model. The record is from RNAcentral.